Molecule: ribosomal RNA, 370 nt
Filed under: uncultured soil bacterium
Lineage: Bacteria
Description: bacterial SSU rRNA
Rfam family: Bacterial small subunit ribosomal RNA
Source: RNAcentral
CACCUUUUGACAUGCCUGGACAAACCGAGAGAUCGGUCUUUCCCUUCGGGGACUGGGACACAGGUGCAGCAUGGCUGUCGUCAGCUCGUGUCGUGAGAUGUUGGGUUAAGUCCCGCAACGAGCGCAACCCUCGCUGUUAGUUGCCAUCAUUUAGUUGGGAACUCUAACAGGACUGCCGGUGCUAAGCCGGAGGAAGGUGGGGAUGACGUCAAGUCCUCAUGGCCCUUACAAGGUGGGCUACACACGUGCUACAAUGGUGACUACAGAGGGCAAAUCCCUAAAAGUCAUCUCAGUUCGGAUCGUCCUCUGCAACUCGAGGGCGUGAAGUUGGAAUCGCUAGUAAUCGCGGAUCAGCAUGCCGCGGUGAAUA